AAAGCAGGUUGCAAUUACAGUGCUUCAUUUUGUGGAAGUACUGCCAUUAAUCCUGCUGAAAGAAAAGCUGUGUUAAUCGUUUCGGUUUCGCCUUUAUGGGGGUAAAACCAUAACAGAUGGACAUGGACAAUU
Molecule: small nucleolar RNA, 132 nt
Organism: Prolemur simus (greater bamboo lemur)
Lineage: Eukaryota; Metazoa; Chordata; Mammalia; Primates; Lemuridae
Product: small nucleolar RNA, H/ACA box 69
Source: Ensembl